Molecule: unclassified non-coding RNA, 493 nt
Filed under: Hevea brasiliensis (rubber tree)
Lineage: Eukaryota; Viridiplantae; Streptophyta; Magnoliopsida; Malpighiales; Euphorbiaceae
Source: RNAcentral
CUCAGCAAGACUCCUUUAAUAUCAUCAAAGGUUGAUGUCUGGUCAGCUGGGGUUCUAUUUUACCAAAUGCUCUUUGGCAGACGUCCUUUUGGGCAUGACCAGACUCAAGAACGAAUAUUACGUGAAGACACAAUUAUCAAGGCUCGCAGGGUUGAGUUCCCUUCAAAGCCUUCUGUCUCUAAUGAGGCAAAGGAUUUUAUUCGCCGAUGUCUAACAUAUAACCAAACUGAGAGACCAGAUGUUCUAACUAUCGCUCAAGAUCAGUAUCUUACAUACUCAAAGAAGUAGUGUACAAAGGCUCAGAUAAGAAGGGUUGCAUGGGGCAGGAAAGCUGACAAUUUCUACCGAUCAAUACUUGAAAGGGGAAAAAAAAAGGUUGUUCAGCAAUACCAACUUGGAAUUUUGUAUAUGCUAUUAAAGGUUUUGUAAAAACUUUUCCCCUGGCUUUUGAGGGCAAGAUUUUAGUUCCCCUCCCCUCCUUUUGGGCUAAAGU